UACGUAGGGGGCAAGCGUUGUCCGGAUUUAUUGGGCGUAAAGCGCACGCAGGCGGUUUGGAACGUUUGCAGUGACAGUGCUCGGCUUCACUGAGCAAGGUCUGCAAAAACGACCAGACUUGAGGACCAGAGAGGGACAUAGAAUUCCGGGUGGAGUGGUGAAAUGCGUAGAUAUCCGGAGGAAUACCAAAGGCGAAGGCAGUGUCCUGGCUGGUACCUGACGCUGAGGUGCGAAAGCUAGGGGAGCGAACAGG
Molecule: ribosomal RNA, 253 nt
Filed under: uncultured Ktedonobacter sp.
Lineage: Bacteria; Bacillati; Chloroflexota; Ktedonobacteria; Ktedonobacterales; Ktedonobacteraceae
Description: partial 16S ribosomal RNA
Rfam family: Bacterial small subunit ribosomal RNA
Source: RNAcentral